CCUACGGGGGGCAGCAGUAGGGAAUUUUGCGCAAUGGGCGAAAGCCUGACGCAGCAACGCCGCGUGAUUGAUUAAGCCCUUCGGGGUGUAAAGAUCUGUCAGUGGGGACGAAACUUGACGGUACCCACAGAGGAAGCACCGGCUAACUCCGUGCCAGCAGCCGCGGUAAUACGGAGGGUGCAAGCGUUGUCCGGAAUCAUUGGGCGUAAAGAGUUCGUAGGUGGCAUAUUAAGUCUGGUGUUAAAUGCAGAAGCUCAACUUCUGUUCGGCACUGGAUACUGGUAAGCUUGAAUGCGGUAGAGGUA
RNAcentral lists this ribosomal RNA (305 nucleotides) under uncultured bacterium. RNAcentral describes it as "bacterial SSU rRNA". It matches the Rfam family "Bacterial small subunit ribosomal RNA", at positions 338 to 659 of the family's 1533-position model. The record is from RNAcentral.